Non-coding RNA from Coturnix japonica (Japanese quail), 19204 nucleotides. The record is from RefSeq and is a predicted model, not a curated record. NCBI's taxonomy places the organism in Eukaryota, Metazoa, Chordata, Aves, Galliformes, Phasianidae.
AGCUGAGAAGAGGAAAAAUUGUUUAGUAGGAAAAAUGUCAUGGAUGUUUGUUGAGCAGCACAGAUGUAUAGAAGGAAUCGGUGUUCAUACUGUAUGUGGCAACUGACUAUACUUCUGCAUGCAGAUAAAGGAGUUAGUUACACAACUGUGUGUAAGCAAAUCUCCUUUGCAUGUGCAGAAAGGGCCUGUCCAACUGCUAUACUAAUAGCUGACCAAUAACAGGCAGAUCUUGAAAGAUAUAUCAGAGUAUAACUAAUUAAGUACCCAUUAGCCAUUACUUUGUUCUCAUGAUCCUGUGUUCUGUAUGUGAACUGUCACUGCUUUAACUAUUUUUCCAGAACAAGGAUCUUUAAAUUCCUGUGUGAAGUCACAAAAAGUGUAAUAAAAAAUAUCAGAGGUGUGCUACAGCAACUUGCAUGGCAAAGCACUAGGGUAGAAAAUGAGUAGAAACAGAAUGGUCUGCUUUCUGUACAGAAUUCCCUUGCUAUAUAUGGGCAAGGUGCUAUGAACUGCUGGAAGCAUAGUUUGGUUAGAGGGCAGAGAGGGAGGGGCUGUAUAUCACUGUGACUUCAAUACACCAUGGUAACAAGAGCACGGGUACCUGCCUCUCUGAUGCAAAAAUGAAUCCUGCAACUUCCUUGGCUUCUGUAAGCUUGUGAAUCUCCUCCAUCAACUGAUGCUGCACUUCACAGAUGCUUGAGGAAGACAGCUGCAAACAUAAAGUUUUUCAGCCCCUUCUGACUCUGAAGUCAGCCCUUGGUGGAAAGGGAUACUCCAGAAGGGCCUCACUGCACUGUUUCUUGUGCAGAAUCUUGUCCAGUUUAUUGCCUAAAUAUGGCUCCGGUUCAGUUCAAACUGUUGAAGAAUAAUGUUGUUGAUGUUCAGCUGAAAAAAGUUGUGUCCCCAUCUAAUGAGUGUCCCACUGGAGAUUAACUAGUCCUCAGCAAGCCAGCUCAAGCCCCAUGCACUCUCAAGGGCCUAUUUUGGAGGACAAGGUAAGAUCAGGAAGUGUUGUGUUUCAAGGAUCCAGACCUACUGGAUGUCCAAAACCUCAGCUGUGAUAAACUCUCCCUUAAAGCUUUUCAAAGAUGUCACAUUUGGCACAGAAGUCCCUUAACCAGAAGAUAUCUGAGGCUGGAGGAGCAUCUGGAAGCUGGCAUUUUCAUUGCUUCUGCACCAUCAGCUCUUUGAGUACUUCUGACGUCCCUCUGCCCCUGUAACAGUUGACCAAGAUACUUCAGACUGAAAGCACAGCAGCAUCCUGAAAUGGCAGUUGUUAUGGCCUAGAGUGGAGCAUCUUCCUCACACGACAGAGGAACAACCUCCACCUUUUCCUCUACUGAAUUAAAACCACUGUGGAUUGCAUCCAUUUCUGUUAGGUAUGAAAAAGGAAAGCAUUUACAUUUCUGAUCUUCUCUUUUUUUUCCCAAAAAACAGUUGGGAAUUUUAGAUGCACUGAAAUAGUCCUGCACCCAUUUCCCAUCUAAGUUUGGUGCCUGUUUCUCUCAUCUUGUAACCCCUGUGCUGCUUACUGUGUAUAUAAGAAAUAUUAUCCUGGCAGAGAAAGAACUCUUCAUCUCUUUUGCUGAGAUAUUCAUUAGAAUCUCACACCAUAAUGUAGCAGCAUCCUGAUCGGCAUCCUUGGAAAUGCACAUAAUAAACAAUAGCAAUGGUGAAAACUACUGUCUCAGGCAUUUACAGAAAAAUUACAUCUACGUGGCAACCAGUCAGAUGUUUUAUAAACACUCCUGUUGAGUUAUAGCCAUGAUUAUUAAAGUUAAAAGCUGAGCACCACGUUAAUUGGGAGCUCUAUUCAUUCACAGAGUGAGCAUGAAGCUGUCAGGCAUCCUGCCUCUUUCAUCCUGACCGAAGUCAGCUGUUUCAUAAUACAUUGCAUUGAACUGCUCUGUCUUAAAGUGAAAAAUGAUUCAGUUACCACAGUAACACAGCUCUGGGUUUCUUCCCUAGCAGUGAAGGUUAACUGGGCUGUCUAAUGCAUGUUGGUUUCAAGGUGCGAACAAGGGAACAACAACAACCGAGUUAUGAAUUCUGAAGUUCAUUUUAGUUACUGUAAGGCCACAGCCAGAAAAGCACCCACAUCCUAAAGCUACAUCUUCUUUGGGUGCUGUCAUCUCUGUUUUCUCUGUCUUGUGCUAAAUGCUAAUGCUGAUGGCUAACAACACACACUGCAUCCUGACUUCCCCAUAAACUCUACACAGGGCCUUAAUUUGCCAACAGUGUAAGGGGAAACCAUAACAAGCUUUAUCCUGAUCCUGUGCCCUUGGCAGAGAUGCUGAACUGUCACACUUAUCAUUAACUUUAAGCAGAGCUCCAAGUGUUUAGCACAGCCUGUAAUACAUGGAGCUCUUAAGAGAGAUUAUGUUUUCUGCAGCAAAAAAAUGCAAACUGUAGACUUAGGUUUCCCUUCAGCAUAUGUUAGAGCCUGGAAAUAGUCGUUCUCUGCUCCAGUAUGGAAAAUAUGAGCAUUCAUUGGUGUAAUGUGCCAUAAUGAUAAAUACUUUCAUUUAUGAUAAAAUAAUGAGAGAAAUUACGUGCUAAUUACAUGGUUGGGAUCUAUUAAAAGCAGCUGGGAUUCUUAAGCCUAGAACUCUUUUUGGUUCUGGGUUGUAUAUAAAGAAUCAGUUGAGCACUGAGCAAGAAUGUGCUAAGAAUGGGCUAAAGCCAGUCUGAAACAAGACCUCUUGAAAUUUGUAUAUACCAAGCCCAACUGUUCAGUUAUACAAGUCUGCAUCUAUGGGCACUACAGCUAGUCAGUGUAGGCAUAGCCUAAGAUGUGGAGACUAAAAUUAGACAUCAAUAUAAGCAACUACAUAAUUUUGGUUUCUAACUCAUGAAACAGCAGUUCUCAGCCUCACCAUGACUGGGCUUCCUUCCAAAGGAAGAUGUGUCAGUGGAAGAUGUUUAAAUACCACAAACACAACAGGAUACAAUGGGUGUGCUAAACAGUUCCUCAUCCUGCUUUUUCCAUAGACCAAUAUUAACUUUUACAAUGAGUAUGAGGGAGGAUUCUGGAGGGACAACUGUACUCUGCUCUUUUUUUGAAGGUGACAAACCUAGUAACUUACUGUUUACUAUGAUGCAGUUAUUCUCCCUGCUUUACACUCAGCCUUUAGAAGAACUGCUCUUGUCUUACAUUCCAACUUUUUCCCUGCCAUAAUUUAGCCAACCUUCUGUUCCAAAAUCCUAUACAUUUUGAUGGCCCUUUGUCUGAUUCCGGAGAAAAACACUGUACUGAACUGAUUAAAUUAUUUGUCCUUACUUCUGGAUAUGGCACCAAACUGAAAGAAUGAUUCUCCUUGCUGUUGAGAAAGCCACUUCCUGUUAGAAUAGAACAUUGCUUAUUAAGGGUAUGACUCAUCAUGAUGCACUUUUAUUGAAAUGCUGCCAAACAACACAGUUUCAUCAAACUACGUUAAGCUGUUGCCUUGGCAAACCAGAUUGAGACACGCUAGGAUUAAUACCUUUCCCAAGCUUUAAUAUUGUGUUCCCUUGCCAAAUGGCAACUUAUAAUUUUUUUACCCCAUUAUUUUUCAAGAAGGUGGUUCUUUCUAUAACACAUUACCUGUGGUACAUGGUCAGUGUAAAGAAAAAAGAACCCCUCUGACCGCUGAAUCAUAGCUGAAAGUUUUUUAAACUAAACUGGCUAACUUUGCACUCAAGCAAAUUAUGGUUUCUUACUUGAUUUCUUAAGCUGGAUCACCUACCACCUCUGCAUUGAAUAAGCAAUUACAGAAGAGCUGAUGAAUGGAAACUUCUUAAAUCUCUCCCUGUGUGCCAGAACGUCAAGAGAAUAGAUCCCAGCUACAACAUUUAUGGUCUGAGCUACUGAACAUAUGAUUGUUGUGAUACAUCCAGGGCAAAUUUCUUUGCUAAAAAUAGUCAUGAUUCCUACAGACAUUCCUACACAGAUUCACACAAGCUCCAUACUGAUGGCUGCUUUCUUUCUUCUACUGACCAUGUCUCUGUUAAUCACACUUACUCAACUUUUACAUUAAUUAUAUUGCCAGUAAAUAUGUUUAUGAUGUUUGGGUAGGUUUUUUUGGGUGACAUUUUUAUUAUUCCAACCACUUUUAAUGCAUUUCUCAAAUGGCACAGGUAUGAACAUGCAAUAUAAAAGUUGUUUAAGCAUAAGCAGCUAGGUAGGUGAUAUUGAACUAGAUGAAAAUAAUGUUAUCAUUAUAUAGCAUAACUCAGUAUUGCAGUUUUCAUUUGUGAUAAGCCCACUCUCUCCCUUUCUCCUUCCCCUCAACAUCCAGAGGAGCAAGCACCAUGAUCAAGCCUGACAUGAGCACAGCAGAGCCACUAGACAGGUUUCACAUCUCCUUUUUCCUGUAUUACUGUGGACAGCUUGUAACACAUUACUCUCUGAGAGUGGUGCUACUUUAGUCUGAUGAAGGUAUAGGACAGGAGAGUGUUAUGUUUAUUCUUUCACGUGGCUUUGUGUAGAACUCAAGAGGACAGUAAACAUACCGAUUAGUUGCAUGGGUGGCUCCACAUCUGUUGUGGCUUCUUCCAGCAGUGACAGCAGCUUGGCUGAUGUUUGAUGGACCGAUUCGAUGUUGCUAAACAAGCCAUCCACAUCAAAGCGAGCGAUCUAGUGGAAUACAAAUAUUAAGCAGCUACUGAGGAAGGAUAAAGAAGGACACUAUUUUACAGACCUUCUCUCAAUGUGGCCUUCGUGUUCAGCACUCCAGGAAGCACAAUUUUUGCAAUACAUAAUAUAAACAUCCUUCUUGUGACUUUCAGGACGCAUACAGUUUUCAGAUCAGUAGAAUUUGGUUGACGCAGUUAACAAAGGGCAUUAUUUUCAACUACUGGUUCCUAAUCUGAAAGUGUUUACCCGGGAAGGAAAUAAAUAUUAUCAUCUGAAUGAAGAAAAGUUAUUUAGCUGGCUUUAAAGUGUUUAUUUUCCCACUGAGAAGAAUAGUUGGCAGUGGAUCUGAUUCCUUGUUUUCCAGUUGCUCACAGAGGCCACUACAUGAACUAGGACCUUUGUGCUGCAGUGCCAGCUAUGAGGUACGAAGACUUUCAAAUGAUGAUACCGUUUUAAGUUAGUUGUCCUGUAAAUCUGAAGAGUGCAAUCAAGACCAUACAAUUUCCACUUAAACUAACACUUUAAAAUUCUGGGUAUUAAUAUAAUCAAAGGUGGAGACCAGGAGCACAGCACUGGCUCCAGUGAACUGGUUCAGUUUACAUCAGCAAAAAAUUUGUCUCCAUAUCAUAUUGUCUCCCUUACUCAUAUUAAACAAAAAAUGUUCAGGACACGUGCUUUUCGUACAGCACACUCCCUUGUGCAACUGCAUGGUAGUUAAUAUUCAGGGACAACAGGGGAUAGUCAGUGGUGACGUGUUAACACUGAGAACAAAGGCAAGACUGAUUUUGACAUCCAUAUCUCUACCCACUGAACAUCCCUCUCCAUUAGAAACAGAACUGCUUACUUGCUCUCCAGAUGCUGGGAGGAUCGUAUUGCACACUGUUGUAACCGAAUCAGCAAUACACUUUCAGUUCUACCAUAGUUAAUUUUUAAUAAUUAUUAAACAGCUAAAACAUUUUUUAUCCAUUUAGAAAUACAAAUCAGAUCCAUUCCUAGGUCAAUUUUCUAAAUGUUAUCCUUCUCUAAACACACUACAAACUCUCAAAUAUAGUAGUUUAUCUGAGAAGUAGACUUAAAACCAUACAGUAUUUUGAAAGCCUUUCAAAAAUUGCAGAGGUUAUUACAUUAGGACAGUUAUAAUCUCUGCUUUUCUUCUGUAUUCGUCUGUCACUGGACUUUUGACCUCUACUCCAGCACAAUGCCUACAUUGCUUUUGGAACAAUGUUGUGACUGGAGACGGUGACAAAGGACAGAAUGAAAACAUAUGUUUUCAGUUGGCUGGACAAGAGCAGAAGAAUACAGCAUGUUUGUUACCAAUCUCAGUGAGUUUGAGCACUGUGUACUGGUCAGGAACCAGCAGAGACCACUCCAAAGCAGAUGAACAACUGAGAGGAAAGAGGAGUCAAGAACUGCUUAAGUAACCAGCAGAAGCCAGCUCUUCCAAAAAUGAAUUGGAACGAAUACUAACAGUUUUAGGAAACAGAGCAAUGGUCCUGCAGGAGUUUAAACAAUGUGAGUUUCAGUGGCCACAGUUCUCUGAGGAGGCAGCGUCUGCAUCAUUUAAAAAGUCUUUGUCCCCUGUACUACUAUUUUGUGACCAGUUGUGUAAGGAAUCAUACAUACAGAACACAGGCCUGCGGUCUUUUUAAAAUCACUUCUAUGCUGUAUUAGCAGCAGAUAUCAUUUGUGCAGCUUCUGUGAACGCUAUAUUGCAAGCCCCACGAAUUUAAGUCUUUCUCUGGACAAGCUCUUCUAUUCCCAGCUUGAGACUGCACAAUUUUUCUAGAAAUUGAAAUAUUGUUGAGGAAAAGGUGCUCUUUGAAGUCUCAGCUGAAAAGGAAACUGAGUAUCAUUGGCCUAAUAAGAUCUUUUGCCUGUAAGGUAGCUCAUGAGCCUUCCUCCCUCAAUUUCUCUUUUCUGUGAGGAAUGCAAAUUUCCACGGCGCUCACUGUGCUGUCUGUCAUGCGUGGUGUCUCUCCACCACCGUUGUCAGAGAAGCUGGUUGAAGUAAUUUUUAAGACGGAACUUAACCCUGAUGGGAAGGUUAAUGCCAUUCCAGGCUGUUGCCAUGGAAAAUAUUUCUUGUUAUUGUUUUUUACUGCUUUUAGAGGUGUUAGUAAAGGUCUGCUGGAGCAUGUGCCAGUGGUUAUGGGCACAGCAAAAUGGACAGGGGAAGCUGCCACUGUAGCCUAAGCCUGGGAGCAGGCAUAUAGCAUCUAAGCUGCCCUCUGGGCAAGCACCUCAAUGCCAAGGGUCAGAAGUGUAUCUGACUUCCCACUCUCCUCACUACAGUUCUGGCAUAUUCGCCUUCUGUAAAGCCAGCUCUGGACCUGCACCAGGCAGCACACCACCCUUCAGGUUGCCAUCUGUGCUUGCCUUAAGAUUAUCUGCAAACAGAGCGUAGGUGAAUUCAGAUCUUGGCGUCAUCUUUGGUCCUCCGCCCUCGGCACUUACCUGUUUGUUUCUCAGAGGCUGAAUCACUUCCUUGAUGCAGAGAUCCAGGUCACUGAUAUAGUCCCUCUCUGUCUGCAUGAGCUCUGCAAUGAUUUUUACCCUCUUGGCCAUCAUGCGUUUGGUAGUUUCUUCAUCCUCCCGUGGCAAGGUGGUGGGGGAUGUGGAGCCUGACUGUGGGGCCAUUUUUUCUGUUUUAAAAGAGAAUUGUGGGAGGUCUGUAAGGAACAUCAUCAUUUCAUUGUCCCGGCCAUGCUUCCUCUACUGCCUGAAACACUUCCCCACUGAACGCAAUCCUGCAUCAACCUGGUCACGCUGAAAUCCAAAUACAGCUGAUGACCUGUAAAACCACAGCCUCGGGCUGAAGUCUAUUAAGAUUUGGUGAAGGGUGAAAACAUGCUCCUGUGGAAGGAAAAGGCUGUGUUUAUUGCUGGUUUCACUGGAAUAACCAUUGUUUUGUACGAUGUAUUUACUGAGGUCUGUUCAUGGGUUUACAGGUAUGGAUGAUGAUGAAAUCUGUAAUUCUUUUGAAAGAGUUCUUUUAAUAAGGAAAAGGAAUUACAGGACUAUGGAAAAACCUCCAGUGAUCAAUAGCAAACACUUCUUGUGACAACAGGGAUCACUGGGGUCAUGAGAUUCUUACUUUUCCACAUUUAAAACCUAACCUGAUUAAUUUGUUCCAAAUACAUGGAAAUGCAAAGGAAUCUUCUAUAGACAGAUAAUUUACCUAUGCUACCUGUGCACACCACCUACUUAUCUGUAAUGAUGGCUUUCUCUUUGUUUGGUUCUGAAGGCAACCUGCAGGCACUCAUGGCAGCUGUACAAAGGGCACAGAAUUUUGUCAGUGUACACUGACAGUCUGUAUUUUUCGUUAGGAAAAACACAGGGGGAAAAAGUGGAAGAUUUCAGAGGGUAUUCUGGCGUUUUCCUGCCAGCCACAAGAUGGUGCAGAGUACCAGCAAAGACAGACAGAUCAUUACUGCGCUCAUCUCCGCAUUACCCAGGUCGUGGCUUGACAGCAUCGGAUUUUCUCGCUCAGCAGCAAAGGACAGGAAUCUCUGCUGAGGAUCAGGCUGUUAUGCCUUGAUUUCAGCUCCUUGUAGGAAGCGUACCGUAUAAUGAGCCACGAGCAAGCAGGAUCUGAUGCCUUGCCAGCUGGUAACUGAUACUGAAUAGAUUGCUGUUGUUGGAAUUGAUCGUUGAGGGUGAGGUCAUGAGCACUCAAGUGAGCACCAAGCAAAGCCCAGCUCACCCAUACAACGCAGGUCAAUGCUGCAGAUGAUAAACUGGAGCUGGACUUGUGAGGAAGCCAGGCAAUCUACUGGAGAGAGGACCUGGAGCUGUCUUCCACUGAGAGUUGUAAGAUCUUACAAACGCAAUGCAUCAUCGGCCUCGGGCCCUUCUACAAUGAUGCUGACAGCUUAUAUUCAGAAAGGAUGGUUUUGUUAUUAAUCCUAGUCAAAUGGAUGUGAACACGGUUUGAUUUAAAUAGCUGCAUUGGGAACUGCACCUCUGCUUAUGUCCUGGUAGUUUGCAGCGGGGAGGACAAGGAGCCUGAACAAAGCUGGGAGUUUGUACACAGACAAUGGACUGGAAUGGAAAUGAGCAGGAUAUCUCCUCUCUCCAAGGCCUUGGAAGAAUUUUAAGCUGAAUUCUCCCCUAGAGAAUUCACCCCUGCUGGUGUGAGUGUCUGCCUUGUGUGAGUAUUCACCUCACUUCAGACCUCAGCCCCCAAAGGUACAGUGUGCUGAAAGAAAUGGACUCAGUGCUCACUUCAGUGUGAAGAGCAGAAAUCUGUUCUAGUACUUCUUCAUGGCUCCCUCUGAGCCAUUGUGUGCUAGGGCUGUGGAAUGAGCCCUCCCUGCCUGCUGCUUAUGUGCUAACAUGGCAGGUAGUAACCACAAUUACAAAUGUGCGAGGAACCACACAAACAAUACGAUUUAGCUCCAGUCCUGCACCAAAACCAACAUUCCUCUUGAGACCAGGUGUGAAAUAGUUUGUACGUGUGUGACUGAAUGUGAGAGUUCAGGAGGAAGGUCUUAGUUACAAAUGUAUUGUCUUAUAUGCAGUACCACCACAGUAUUAGAUGGAAUUUGAAGGUGAACACAAGAUGCUCUGUAAAAGAACUUCUCCAUCUUUUAUAGUGGUGGCAGAGACAACAUUACGGGAACAAAACAAAGGCAUUGUAUCCCUCCUCAGGCUCAAAAUCACAAUCCCCAGAGAGGUUGGCUUUUUUUCUAUUUAUGCCAUUAGAUCACCCUGAUCAAAUUUGAUUCGGGAAUUAUGUCAGGGCUCAGCUAUUAUCCUUGUUGCAUGAUAGAUAAUAAUGCCAGGAAAUAAAAACUGUUCUCAACAGGAAGAAAUAAUGGUGAGAAAUAGCAGGUAGAUGCUGUUUCCUUACGGAAAGCACGUUUUUUUAAUAAAAGCACCCUUUUGUUACAAGUAAUAUAAUUUUUCAUUUUCACUCAACACAUUCACAUUUUCAUUUUAGACAUGUCUGUCUCCGUAGAACGCAGGAGCAAGAUACUGAAAUGAUAAUUACAGCCCAAACCUGUGAUUUUACAUUCAGCUGAUUGCUUUUGACCAGUUUAAGAACAUUAGUAGCCUGCUGAAAUCCUUGCAGAGUAAGUGAAAGUUGAAUGAAUGCACAAACAGCAAGUGCACAUUUGAAAUACAGGCAGACUUGUUUCUACCUGGUAAUGUCAACCAGCCCUGGAACAGUACAGAGAGAGGAUUAGCAAGAAGAGACAUUGCUGAGGAUUAACAAUUAUAGUAAGAAUUCAGCUCAUUCAUCCUUGGAAGUGACAGGUGUAAAAGAAAAGAACUGUCCCCCUCAAAUGGUUUAUUACACACGUAUUUCUUAAGACACGUGCCAAGGUAAUUGGUACUUUUAGUAGAUAUAAAAAUGUGAAGUGGAAGGCAGCAUUUGCAGUUGUUUUUUGCAAGGACAGUUGUCUGCAGAAGCUGCCUUUCUGCAAGAUAUUGCAUUGGUGAGGGAGCUUACGACUUUGGUUUUGAGCCAUGGAAGUGCACAGCUCUACUCACAGGACAUGAGAAGCUCAGUGAGCGAUGCCGCAGACAAAGGAGCUGCAUGUGUAGCAGAAGCAGUUUCUUGCAAGUGUGAAGUCUAAUAUCAUCCCUCAGCUGGAGACAACCCAGCAAAGCUGGGAGACCAGUAAUGCACAAAUACAGCAUCUCCUAGGCACAUGGACAGACUACAGAAGCAGUCAGAGAAGGUUUAAAAGAUGGAUGAGUGCAAAUUUCCCAGGCUUUCCCCCCUGUAGAGAGCAGCUCCUGGAGGUCUGCUCCAGCUCUCAUUCCUCCAGGUGAGAUGCUCAGGGUGGAUAUUAGGUUUGCCUUGGGGGGCAGGACACAGGUUUCUUCAUAUCUAAUGCUUUUCAUUUGGAAGUGAACGUAGAGGCAUGGAAUAUAGCAACAAGUACAACAACAUCAAUGCAUGAAGGGGAGUGAGAGACCUUUUUCUUGCUCAAGUGCUAUUUGGAGGACUCCAAAGUAAGCCCAGCACUCACGUGGUGCAGGUGAGGGAAUUUUGCCUGGCAUGAGGCAUAAGUUAUCAAGGAACAGCAAAUAAAUUACAGCAUUACUGUAUUUUCACAAGUGAAACUUGAACCUCACGCCACCAUAGAUAAAAUUAUUCUCUGUGAAAGCAAGCCCUCAGAUAGCCUGUACCCUCAGAUAACCCAGAGACUGUACACGGGAAUCUACACCACUUUUAUCAGCUGGAUUUGCAAGUCAGACACAGGCAGUUUAGGCAAUGAAAUACAAAAAGGAUUGGGAAAGGGUUGUAGAAAAUGCCAUUUUUUUCCCCCCACACAUGUAUAUGCUGGCAACAUUAUUUGGGAGCAGGUUUGACGCUCAGGGGCAGGUUUGUUGCAUGGCUGUUACAGAUGCAAAAUGCCCCAUGACGGCAUAUGGGCUUCCAGGGCAACAGGUUUGCUUAUAAAGCCAGAGAUUUACGUGCAAUUAGGUCAUUCUGUCUUUGAUCAUUCUUGUUCCAUAAAGUGCAGAAAAUAUUUACAUUGAACAUGCAAGCUUUUUCUUCAAUUCCUUGACAGCAUCUCGCUUUAAUUAUAUAUCUGCUGACAGGACUUCAGAGAGAUCCCAUGUGACCACAGGGGAAGGGAAGAAAGCUUAUCAUCAGGUGACAGAAGAAUGCCCUCAUUGUUAGCACCAGUACCUACAAACAAACCUUCCCAAAGCAUCAUACACGAUACAAAUACACAGCACUCGUAGCAUUGAGUGAGUAUGUUACUAAUGGGAGAACCAAGGAAGGGCUGCAUCUGAACUGCUCCCCUUGGAGACGCAGGCACCUCCAGAUCUGAAGCACACAGCAGGACUUUACUGUGCUAAGUGCUGUGCAAACACAGCAGCACAAAAUGGACUCUGCUCUGAGAAGAUGCGAUCACAUCCCAGCCUGGCUGUCACUGCAGUAAGGUCAAGAAAUACCUCCAGGUUUAUUACGGUGAAAGUUAAAAGAAUUAGAUCCUCCGGGUUCAAAUUUGCACAUGGAGGCAUAUUUUCAUCAAGCCAUCUCUUGCACAUCAGGAAAUAAUCCAGACUUUUCCUCCUUUCUGUAUUUCAUUCAGCAAACCGGCUACUCCAAAGAUCAAUACAUUUUGCAACAGGAAAUCACCUGCAUUGUAGUACACAGAAAGUUAAUCAGUAAACACAGAGCAAAGCAAACAAGGAACUGGGGAGGGACAUGGAGGAUCCCUUCUGCUGGCAGGAGAUACAGAGGCCAGGUCAUCAGGUUGUGGUAGCUGAGUGAUUUGCACCAAUGUGUCUAAUACCAAUGCACUGAAAUUAAUGCAUGUGCAAAUCAUUUGAUAGCACGGAUGACCCAUUCCCAGCUAGUUAGAAAGAAGUUAGUAUGUCAUAGAAUGUUCAUCUCCAACUCUUUCUGGGAAUCCAGCAUUUUCAAUAGCUUGUUUUUCAUACCAAGCACAAGUUUGGCAUGUGCUUAUGUUCUGUCCUUCCUAGCUGAUGGCAUCCAUCCCCACAAUUCAUCUACCUCAGUCUGCCCUGAUUCUGCAAACAUGUACAUGCCAAUAUGUACAUCUACGCACAUAGGUACUGCACUGGGAUGAUGACAGCUGUAGGUUAAUUCACAGAUUGAUCCCAGCAUUAAUGCAGUACACAGAUAUUGAUAUUGUUACUUUCCCACCUGCUACUGAUGGAUUUUCAGCUGUAGGAGACCAGCACCUACCGGCCAAACAGUUAUGGUAAUACUUCUAAAAACAGCUGCUAAAUGUUAUCUUGUGCCACUUAAGGGUAGUAGAAAGAGGGGAAAAUCCUGCACUACAAGAAAUAGUGAACAUAGAGCUGGGCACUGCAUAGAAAUAUCACAGAAGCUGGAUCUAAGCUCUUAAAAUGACCCUGCAUAUUAUUUCUGCCUCAAGUCCCAGUGAAUUUAUCUUCCUUAACCCCCUUAUUCCCUCUUUAGGAAAAUGAUGCUCGUUUCCAGCUGAGGGAAUGCUGAGGAGAGUUUGACCAAGGUGUGCCUGGACCCAUCCCAGGACACAGCUGCAAGCUGAGCUCUAGGUGGCUGCAUGGCUGUCUCACCAACCUGCCAUUUGAAAGCAACACCUUGAUUCUCCUUAUCUAAAAUGGAGCUGGUGGCACUUGGUUAUCUCAUGGAAUGAGCUGAAAUGGGCUCAUUCAGGUUAGUCAAGCUCUUGGAGAAUAUAAUGGUCACUUUGCACCUUGCUUCCUUUAUCAACAGAAAGGAAACCCGGAGGCACUGCACAUCAAUUCACACCUGAGAAGGUAUUGAAUAGAUGUAUCUAGGAUAAUAAUGAACCUGAAAAUGGUUACUUGCAUUUUUUAAUGAAUUCUUCAUUUUGAAGUGAAAAACACUUCAAACAAACAAACAAACAAACAAAACCAACACCACAAAACAACGCUUACACUUUGACAAUGCUAUUAUUGUUCUUAUGUUUGUAGACAUACAGAGCAAGCCACCUCUAUUGCCAUGGCUAUCUGCAUGGUGGGUCCCUUUCCCCACCCUCUUUUAGAAAGCAGUUUGGAUUCCACAUAAAAGAACAAAACUUGCAGGAAGUCCACUGGGGUGCAAAGAUACCUGACUCCCCAUACUCGGGGACACAAGUACAAACUAUUAUCACUUGAAUCUUUUAACAAAACAUUUACUAUUUCAGAGCCUUCAGAGACUCCAGACCUGACAAUAUGCAACAGUGUUUGCAUCACCAACAGAACUGUUUGCUUUUCUAACCAAGGAAGGAGAGCUGAAAAGUUUAGAGAUAGGACAAAAGGAAAUGCUUUCAAACUAAAGCUAAAAGUGGGGAGAUUUAGAUUGGACAUAAGGAAGAAGUGUUUUACACUAAGGGCAUCAAGGCACUGGCACAGGUUGCCCAGAGUCGUGGUGGAUGUCCUGGCCUGGGAGAGAGCCAAAGUCAGGCUGGAGGGGCUCUGAGCACCUGAUGGAGCUGUAGGAGUCCCUGUUCAGUGCAGGGAGUGGGACCGCAUGGCCCUUAAGGGUCCCUUCCAACUCAAACUGUUCUACAAAGAAAAACACUUCCCUCAAUACUAAUUGUAUUUAAGCACUGAUAAGAAAAAUGAAGAACAUGCAAGGAGUACCUCCUUGGCCUCAGUGGGUAACAGAUUAGGUCUGGGGCCUAUGAUCUUUAUCAGAUCCAGGCAUAUCUGGAUCACCACAACCAGAUCCUGGUCAGGCCUUUGCACACAGCUCCAUGCCUUUCUACUAAUAUAAAUACCCUUCACAGGAAUUCCUACCCACUUUGUACUUUUACUCUGAGGACAGGCAACUUCUGAUUAAAUGCAAAGCCUGCAGGUACCCUGUUAGCCACCGGCAUUUGUCUUUUGCAGACAUAAGCACGCACAGCAAGCCAGCACUGGGUGGGCACUCUGCCAUCUGUGGCCGCAGCAACCUCAGCUGGAGGUGGGAGCUGCAAAGCCGGAUUUACCACCCUGCUGGCCCAUGGCCAUCAGCAUAACCUCACACACUGCCAUGCCAGCCAAGACUUCCCUGCCUCCUUCGCUUCAGACGUCAAGCAAGAGACACUCCCGGAAUGAGCGCACACUGUGGGGGAAGGAAAGGGCUGAUGCAUUUGGCUGGAUCCCACUCUACAACCAGAUCCGACUUGGGCAGCCCACUGCAUGAGAAAAACUGUUGUUCCAGUGACACACACACACACAUGUGCUGGGAUCACAGCCACCCGGCCGCAUUGAUUCCCACUAACACCCCCAAGCGCCUCUGCCAGAGUUGUGCCCGACUUCACCCAACAUCUUUCAUCUCCCCAUUGAUUAGUUGUCACGAGGAGGGAACGCUGUAAUCAAUGAACCUCUCAGUUGCUGUCAGCAUAUACAGCCCCUAUAUAAAUCCUAUUAUUUUCUGGUUUAUUAUUUUAUUUUCUGCUUUUAUUGUCUCUCUGAAAGAAAAUUGCUUCCUAAUUAAAUGCAUCAAAACCAUAAUACAGUAACCUAAGGUAUUUUUCUACUUUACUUCCCCAUAAAGGAUUACUGCCACAAGAGUGAUUGUCAUAGGCAGUUAUAUCACUAUUAGUAAUAAAUGUUUAUAUUGUGAUAACACUCAAACCCUGCAUUCGUGAUGAGAUCCUGUAGUUCGAGACCCUGAAAACCCACAGAAAUGCAUCAGCUUGUGUUUCAGAGCUCUCCCAGAAAUAGCCACGUACAUCUUUCAUGCUUUUCCUCUAUUUGUGGAGUUGCAUUUAAUUUGCAAUUGACAGGCCCAGUACUGACAUAAUUUGGCAAUUCCUGGCCCGGGCACAACUUGGUUAUUUGAAAAGAAAUGCUCUUCAUAAAGGGAUAAUUGGAAGCAGCAUAUCCAUCAAAGCAUGCAUUUGGAUGUAUUUCAGCUCAGGCUCAGACAAUCUAAGCAACAGAUUAAUGCAUUAGAGAUGCUGGUAUUUGCAACUGAAAGACAAAACUGCCCUCGAUGCUUCUGAUCAUCGCGCCUCCCUGGUACCUUGCAGCUUCUGGCCGUACUCCGUCCUGUCCGACUGACUCCUGCGCAAGGCACCGUGCUCCCCAGCCCCGCUGCUCUCCACCACGGGCUCCGUCCUCCUCCUCUCCCCCAUGUACAGCUUGUGCCGCAGCAGGGUCAAAUUCUUCCUCCGUCCCCCUACGCCGUCCGUGCUCGCCAUGUCCAUGCCGGCGUGGGACAGGGGACGAGGGGCUGAUCCUGGGCACGCAGCUCACGGCUCAGGGGAAGGCUCAGCCUUUCCACCUGUGCCGGUGCGGCUCCACCUCCGGGAAGCUGCCGCCCCAGGCUGUGUUUGCUUUCACCUACUGAGUGUGUGUGAGCCCUACGGGGCAGGUUUAAGAGGCAGCCCGAGCUGCAGCCACUGCCUUUACCUGCUUCGGGAGACGUUCCUUGGCUCCUUUGGCUGCAGGAUGGUCACAACCCUUCAUCAAGGUCAGAAAUAGCGUGCGGCCCACUCUGAUCCCACCCAGCGCUGUGUUCCUUUUGUACAGACACACUGGUGGAAGCCCAGGCACGGAGCGGAGAAAGGCCUGCGAACACCAAGGGGACACUGAGGCAUGUGGAGGAGCUGGAGGGGCUAUUGUGACAAAUUGCUGCGCUCUGAUGGCAGCAAAACAGCUGCUCGCAGUACCCCUGGCUCAGUCCCUGGGAGAGACCUUAUUAUCCUAUUUGCUAGCAAUGGCCCCUGGCACUCUGGCACUGCCUAGGGAUGCUGUGUCUUGCCGGUCUAAUCAAACUCAUGUCAAAACAGCAGGAGCUGCUGGCAUCUCAGCUUGGACCCGACUUAUCCUGGCAAGAGCCCCAACAGCCGUCAGCAGCAAUCAUGGCCACAGUGGUGACACCGGCCCCGCAGCCCCAUUGCUUUUAGGAAGCAGUGCAUCAGGAGCCCCGUGGGCAGCCUGCUUGUGUGAGGCGGCCACAUGCCCAGUGGGUCACAGCUCAUUGCUGCCCUGCUGCCACGUUGUAAUGUUGCAUCCCCAAGGACUGUGCGGGACAAAGUGAUGAGCACAGGGAUACAAUGCAGCAGUGUCAAUGCAUCUCCCAACUUGUGUUUAUCCGAAAAAGAGCUUGUAUCACUAUGACGCUGCCUCCUGACCAAAGCCCCUCAUUUCUACCCUGCAGAAUUAAGAAAAGAUGAAGAAACCAUUAUGCAAUUCUCUAUGCCAAAUUGCAGUGCAGUGCCAGUGCUGCACAAAGUGUCCGGUCUGAACACAACCUGGCAGAGGACUAAAGCAGAGGAUACCAGGAAGAGUCUCUGUGCUGGCACAGAGAAGGGACACACUACGCAGGCAGCCCAUGUGUUACAUCUCCUCUCCCCUUUGCUACUCCCCAAGAAACCCAUGUGUGUUGCAAGACAGACCACAACAGUUCUUAAUGAGGACAGCAGUGAGGGCAAGAAGGGUUCCCAGGGAGCAGGGACAAGCAUCACAGCAAGGAAUAAACAGAUUAAGGUGGGAGUUGAGGGAAAUUGGCUGCCCGAUUUCCUUACAUUGGGGAUUUCCUGAGGUUUGUUUGUUUUCUUUUUAUCCAAGCAAUGCCUUGACAUUCAGCAAAGGUGGCAAAACUGGUUUAAACGGUCACCACCCUUUGUGUCCGCUUCCCCCUGCAAUCCUGUUCUCAUUAUCGGUGGUAGGGCACAAACUGAGCAUCUGAGGCUGGAUGGAGGAGGUGAUGUGGCUGAAAGCCCCCUGCCUUCCCCCUGGGCUGUUUUCCUUCUGGAUCUGUUCUCCCGUUUAGUUCAUCACACAGCUUUGCCAACAGUUGGAGGAGGGACACAGGGGUACAUGUGAGCAGCUGGAGGUAGUUGUUAAAGCUGGCACUGCCCAGAGAAGUUGUUUACCCCCACAGGGAUUUUACCCUGCUGUGCUUUUCUGGAAGCACAGAUCUCAUCAUCUCUAUGAGAUUUUAUUAUAUCUACUUAAAUUAAGAUUGCUUUAGGGAAAACUGAGGGAUAUACUUUGGCUGGGUGGAGGUGGAGGAACAAAUUUUAUUAAAUUCUUGGCUUUGCAGGCUCUCUGCCACACAUGAAGAGUUCCAGCCAAGAUAUAAUGGUUUGUUCAGGUGUUUAUUACGACAGCAAUCUGCCCACAUGCAAGAGGUGUCUUCCUUCUCCUCCACCACUGCCCCGCAGACUGACAAGGUUUGUGUUCAUUCAGCAAGGAAGUGGCUGCAGGGAAAGCUGGCUGUGGUUUACUCCUGCCUUUGAGCUUGUAGUGGUCUGAGUCCAGGCAACAGCAGCAUUUCUGGGGCAGCAGGGAGCCCAAAGCUAGUGUACAACACAGUGCAGAAAUGCAGCCCUUUCUGAAGCCUCAAAAUAUCUCCUCUGUGCCACUUAGCAUGGAAAAGGCUGAAAAUAGCAUGUCUGAAGUCACGUUCUGCGUGAGGUUUAAUAUAUAGGCUACCAGAUGCAAUCCCUAUAGACUCUUACUAGUGUUUGCUGUACUUCACCUGGACUAUAAUAAACCAGCUGAGAAAGCACUGUCAGAACUGCACGUGAAGAACUCAGCUAGCACUAGCAACCAGCUCUCAAUGAGUGAACAGCUCCUGUUCCCUUCUGGCCACGGUAACAACUGAUGGCUGAGCUGUAUCAAAGUUACUGAACUCUAAGAGGGAAUAUCUGGCACCUGUGUGGACAAAAUGCUCGUUUUACAAUCAUUGCAAAUAUCUCUUUGACCCCUGGGUAUUGUGCUUAUUUAAUUCUCCUAAGCAAACUGGAAGCCAGAGAAUGUUAGCACUCACAUACGGGAUAUUUACAUGGAACCUCUCCACUCACGAGACAGAACAGGUGCUGGUGUCAUCACGUAAAAUAUUGGCUUUGUGUUCCCAAGCAACUGUAGCAAUUGCAUACAAGAGGUUAUUGUUGUACGAUCAACGUUAACCUUUAUCUUCAUCCUGAGCUAUAAACGAAGCAGGAACGCUAUCAAGACUGAUGGCCAUUAAGUAGGCAAACAGUUGUUUGUUUUGUUGUAGUUCCUCACAGCUGUCCCUGAAUAUUUCUUUAUAGCUUGGUAUCCCAGAGCACAUACUCAAUGCGCUGCUGUGGGCUGAUUACCAUGCUGUUCCCUACCAGUGGAAGGAAGCACUGCAGCUGCAGCUCCGUGGCAAUAACACCAGGCAACACCUCAAGUCUGCUCAGCGCAGUGGCCACCAAAAGAAAAGACAGCUUCCUAAUACACCACACCGUGCCCCCACCAGCCAGCAUGAAAUUGCAGCAAAUGAAUGUAGCUCAAUGCCAACAUUAGAAAUCAUUCAGGAUGGGAAACGGUGUAGCCACCUUCCCUUCUGGGCCCGUAUACUGCCUGAGAGCCAUCGCUGUAAUUAACGGUAGAUUAAUCAGUAUGUUUAAUGACAUGAGUCCACAGGUGCUCCUCAUUGCUUCCCCACAUCCUUGGAAUUAGCUCUUGUCUCCACACAGUAAAAUGAUUACACCCAGUGGGUAGCAGAGGAUCAGCAUGGUACAAGGAAAUGCUGCAGAGAGCCAUCCCACCCCCUCCACGGGUGGGAGGCAUCAGCAAUGGGCUCGGAUGUCUCUAUUAGCCCCCAGUCUCCACACACACACCUAGGUGCAGAUAAAAGCAAGCCUGUACCUCUUCUUGCUCUGCUUGUAUGCAUGAGUCAGAGCAAAGAUAUCUUUGAGAGACAAAACGUUGAGGUGAUAAGAGCACUCACGUGAAAGGCCCACCAAGGACUUUGAGCACUGGGAAGCUGCGAGAACAUUCACCCUAUCUGUCUGGGGCUGUAAUUGUAAGAUAAGAAAAGAAUGACAGAUGAGGAUAAAAGCAAUAAAAAAGGAAGACUUAAGGAUAGGUAAAACUGAAGUCUACUACGCAUUCAUCUUUCGAAUGAAUGAAUCAAAACUACUUUGAAAUAUACAUAGGGGAAAGGGAAAAAAAACCAACUUCAAACACUUUUCCAUAGCGUAGAGCAAGAAAAAAGCCUGUCUUGUAGGUGGGAAAUAAUUUUGUGUGGCAGUGUCACCUUGCCUCUGACUGCUGAUCUUGCCAGACUGGUGAUUCCAGUAGAGAAACAGAUCUUUGGAAGCGAGUGCACAGCGAUCGUUUCUUUUAGCCGUCUCUAGUGUUUCUUCUCUAAAUAUUUGUCAGUGAAAUUAAUAAAGCAUACACCUCCGGGGCUCA